Molecule: non-coding RNA, 23 nt
Filed under: Cricetulus griseus (Chinese hamster)
Lineage: Eukaryota; Metazoa; Chordata; Mammalia; Rodentia; Cricetidae
Source: RNAcentral
GGAGUUAGAUGGUCUGUGUGCUG